UCUAAAACAUGGAAGUUUUUUUUUUCUAUUUUUAAUAGUUUCUUAUGGAUAGGAGGCUCGUGUGAGCGUUUAGCCUGUCCCGUCCUUAAUUCUGAACCCACUGGCUGGUGCAGAAGAACGGUCGUGUGACAAAAACAGCAUGAAAUUUGUCCCUGUGCCGGAUGCGUCCCGUGGUAAAGGAGUACAUCUGUUAUUCCGGCGUGAAAGAUGUUUGAUGAGCGUAUCGCAUCGUCAGAGCUGCUCUUGGUCUGCCUGCAAGCCGUGGGUUAUGAUUUAGAAAUACGUUCGCCUACCGUUCCUUAACUGUGUGGUUUUGGGUUUUAUUUUUUCAAAGAAAGGGUGGCUUUUUCGUCGAUCUCUUUGUGAGAGUAUCAAAUCAGGUGGCGGUAAAUACAUAGAAGCAGCUAGGCGUACUACGGCGUGUACCGGACAGCGUUGGCGUGCCGCUCUGCUAGCAGUGGAGAGCCAGAUGAGGAUGCCCGUGAUAUGAGAAAAGCUCUGUCCAGAGAUAUGGAGACGAAAUCAGUUGUACCUCAUCCUGUGACACCGGAAGACAUUGAGUAACUCGUCCUGCAGCUGGCUCCUCGGUUUUGGCGGCAGCCUGCACAUAGCAGCCCAGCUCUCCAGCAGCCUGACGGACCGACCGUGUGUCUGUUCCACGCCGGACUGGUGAGCGUGGCUCUGGGUAGGACAGCCGAGGUGCCCCAGGGCCGGGCCCCGAGCCCCGGUGCGGAGUCUCUCCCGGGACCGGCUCUGUG
Molecule: long non-coding RNA, 758 nt
Organism: Grus americana (Whooping crane)
Lineage: Eukaryota; Metazoa; Chordata; Aves; Gruiformes; Gruidae
Exons: 3
Source: RefSeq, a predicted model, not a curated record